RNAcentral lists this ribosomal RNA (879 nucleotides) under uncultured Neocallimastigales. Its description in RNAcentral is "partial large subunit ribosomal RNA". It matches the Rfam family "Eukaryotic large subunit ribosomal RNA", at positions 1 to 621 of the family's 3401-position model. The record is from RNAcentral. Lineage: Eukaryota; Fungi; Neocallimastigomycota; Neocallimastigomycetes; Neocallimastigales.
ACGCACACACGCGCGGCAUAUCAAUAAGCGGAGGAAAAGGUUGCAGGAACUGAACGACCGCUACCUACGCUUAGGAUGUUGACACACGCGCGUGCUCGAGUCUAUACAUGACUCUGUGCAUAUCAAUAAGCGGAGGAAAAGAAACUAACUAAGGAUUCCCUUAGUAACGGCGAGUGAAGCGGGAAGAGCUCAAAUUUGAAAUCUUAAAGGGUUUUCCCUUGACGAAUUGUAGUUUAAAGAAGUGUUUUCUGUUGAAGUUUUCGGUAAAAGUUCUUUGGAAUAGGACAUCAUAGAGGGUGAGAAUCCCGUAUUUGACCGUUACUUUCCAGCUGUGUGAUACACUUUCAAAGAGUCGGAUUGUUUGGGAAUGCAGUCCAAAAUGGGUGGUAAAUUUCAUCUAAAGCUAAAUAUUGGCGAGAGACCGAUAGCGAACAAGUACCGUGAGGGAAAGAUGAAAAGAACUUUGAAAAGAGAGUUAAACAGUACGUGAAAUUGUCAAAAGGGAAGCGUUUGACACCAGUGUUGUUUAGUUGAAAAUCAAUUAAAUAAUUUUUGAUUUUAAGUAGUAUUGACUUCAUCAGCUUGCUGCUUUCUUUUCUGAAAUUAUUUAAUGCACUUUUCAGUUAACAAGUCAACAUCAAUUUCUUUUGUUGUAAAAGGGUAAGAGGAAGGUGGCUUGCGCUUCGGCUCAAGUGUUUAUAGCCUUUUACCUCUGCAAUCGGAGAGAUUGAGGUCUGCAGCGUAGAUCCUUCGGGGUUAGAUACAUUUGUGCUAAGCUAUAGCCUUGUAUAGACAACUUGUUGACUAUGCUCAGUCAUGUAGCUUACUCGCUUAUGCUAUUUUACCUACGCUUAGGAUGUUGAACUCUAUCACACACAG